Molecule: transfer RNA, 72 nt
Filed under: Dehalococcoidia bacterium CG2_30_46_19
Lineage: Bacteria; Bacillati; Chloroflexota; Dehalococcoidia
Also listed under: 2 other names
Description: tRNA-Asn
Rfam family: tRNA
About the family: Transfer RNA (tRNA) molecules are approximately 80 nucleotides in length.
Source: RNAcentral
UCCCCGGUAGCUCAAUGGUAGAGUAGGCGGCUGUUAACCGUUUGGUUGUAGGUUCGAAUCCUACCCGGGGAG